Molecule: long non-coding RNA, 2531 nt
Organism: Sceloporus undulatus (fence lizard)
Lineage: Eukaryota; Metazoa; Chordata; Lepidosauria; Squamata; Phrynosomatidae
Exons: 3
Source: RefSeq, a predicted model, not a curated record
UGCUUUCCCGGGCCUACGCCCAGCAGAGCUGACAUUAAGGCCCCCGCCAUCUUCCGAACGCUCAGCCGCGUCAGGCAGGCGCGCCGCAGCCAAUCAGGAGCCGCGUUCCCAGCGAGGCAGCCAAUCAGAGGUGUACUUCAGAUAACACAGCUGUCAAGUUCCUGGACAUUACUUCUUUAACAGAAAAUUUGGUACCAAGGCAGAACCAACAUGGAAAAGAGCCGCAGUAUGUGUCGGUGUAGGCUCCAUUUCUCCACAAGCUGCAUCACAAAUAUUGGACUCUUGAUUUAGAAGUUCAUUAAAAGUUCAUGGAGAUAGGUCUUGAUAGAACUGGGUCUGUAAGGCCAAGAGAAAAGCAAAUGGUUGACAUCUAAAUAUUGAAAAGAAUGCCAGAAAGCAGGUAGAAUCAUUGCAUGCCCCCCCCCCAAUUACAGACAGAUAAGCAGAAGUAGCAAUAGCAUCAAGUAACUGGAAUAUGCACUGAACUUAAAAUAGUAAGAACUCCUUCCUUACUCCUCAGCUCCUUGGAAGGCUGCAAAAUGAAUCCCAUUCCCUAGAAGUUUUAAUGAAAAGAUUACAAGGCCUGCUCAUGGGCAUACUUUCAGGGUGCUUGAUGCAAGACUAGUAGAUAGCUUAGGGCAGUGGUACUAAAACCUUUUGCUCCCAGGACCCCCCUUUACGUCUAUCUACAUGUGGAUAUCGCACAUCCCCACUCAACAUGGUAUAUGAAUAAAAAUGUUUUGUUGAUUUAAUGUGUGCAUUUUCAUUCACAUUUUUAUGUAUAUUCAUAUUUUAACAUUUUAUAAGGAAUUAACAUGGUUCAAAUUAGAACAGUUUUAUUUAAGUUAAUUCAACAUUUAACUCAAUCCAUGUGUAAAAUUUACACAUAAAAAAGUAUGGGGAGUCUUAUACCUCCAUUGAGCAAUGUUGGAGGUCCCACCCCAGAGUUGGAGAACCACUGGCUUAGGAAGCCUCCUGCAGAUGUAUGCUUAUUUUAAACAGAUUGAUGGGGCUCAGUGGCAACUUGGCGAUCAAAUGACUGUUCAGCAAAAAGGAGUGUUACUUCUGCACACACAAACACAGGCAUCUAAAGCAAGGACAAUACACCUGCUCCCAGUUUAUAACUGAAAUGAAAAACAGUGUUGUGGAAGGGACACAAAUGGCUAGUGUUGUGGUUUCAUGGCAGACUUGAGAUCUGAACCAAGGAUGUCAUAAUUUAUAGCUCAGUCUGUGAGCUGCUAUGGUACUCCACUUGUUAUACCCCAUGGGCAUGUUCCUUUCCUUUCCUUUCUCUCUACUGUCAUCAGAUGAAGACAAUUUAGUCUGUUGAAAAGGUGGUUUGGCUUCUGAAGUGUGUGAGAGAGCUUGGCCUCAGUGCUUUGGGGCAGAAGGGGGGCAAAAGAGGAUUAUUACAAUGAUCUUUGUUUUACAUAGAGGAAGAGAAGAAGUCCUUACUAAAUUUUAUUACAGUUGGCCCUCUCUAAAUCCAUAGAUUCUUUAGCCACAUUUUCAAGCAUACACGACUCAAAAAUAGUAAAAAAUAUAUAUACGUUCCAAAUAGCAAGCCUCAAUUUUGCCAUUUUUUAAAAAUAAGGGACACCUUAUAAAAUGCCCCUGUAUUGAAUAUGGCUUGAGCAUUCACAGAUUUAAGUAUCCACGGGAACCCUGGAACCAAACCCCAGCAGAUACCAAGGGCCUGCUAUAUAAUCCCACAUUCCUUGGCAUCCUCCUUCCCAAAGAGGUCACUGGCCUGCCAGAUCUCACCAGGUCUUGAUGUUGUUAUGUAGCCAUCAUCAUGAUGAAGGCACUGAAAGUGUGUUCCCUGACUCCCUGGAAACACAAAUUGCCAAUCGCAGCUGCAGGGAAACCAAGAAUAGACACCAUGUUCCAAGUGCUGGACUUGUUUCUGUUUCUCAGAAGUCUAAGCUGUUUUCCUAGGUUUAGUAUGGAUCACGGACAGUUAAAGCCAGCCUGGUUGGUGGGAGGCACUCAGGAUCAAGUGAAGCCAUCACUCAGAUCAUCUUCUGGACCAUAUAAACUGCUUUUACCAACACACUGAUAGAUGGGACAACCAAUGUUGGAUCCAGACCUCUGCUGCAGUGGAGAAGAGGCAUGGAUCCAUGCCCCUUUCAGCUUUCCACUUUCCUGUCUCUCUCUCCACCAAAGAAGCCAAGGCAGCAGAGGUGGCACAGGUGCAUGCCUCUUCCAGCUUCACUGCUUCCCUGUCUCUCUCUCUGCCAAGGGAGCCAAGGCAACAGAGAAGGAGGCAUGAGUGCUUGCCCCUUCCAGCUACUCCACUUCCCUAUCUCCACCAAAAGAGCCAAGGCUGUAGAGUAGGAGGCAUGGGUGCUUGCCCCUUCCACCUACUUCCCUGUCUCUCCACCAAAAGAGCCAAGGCAGUGGAGAAGAAGGCAUGAAUGCUUGCCCCUACUAGCUACUCUAUUUCCCUGUCUCUCUCCACCAAAAGAACCAAGGAAGUGGGGAAGGAGGCAAGGGUGAAUGUCCCUUCCCACUACUCCACUUCCCUGUCU